RNAcentral lists this ribosomal RNA (247 nucleotides) under uncultured bacterium. Its description in RNAcentral is "partial 16S ribosomal RNA". It matches the Rfam family "Bacterial small subunit ribosomal RNA", at positions 523 to 769 of the family's 1533-position model. The record is from RNAcentral.
AUACAGAGGGUGCGAGCGUUAAUCGGAUUUACUGGGCGUAAAGGGCGCGUAGGCGGUGAGAUGUGUGUGAUGUGAAAGCCCCGGGCUUAACCUGGGAAGUGCAUCGCAAACUGUCUGACUGGAGUAUAUGAGAGGGUGGCGGAAUUUCCGGUGUAGCGGUGAAAUGCGUAGAUAUCGGAAGGAACGUCGAUGGCGAAGGCAGCCACCUGGCAUAAUACUGACGCUGAGGCGCGAAAGCGUGGGGAUC